GCGGGUGUAGUUCAGUGGUAGAACGUCAGCUUCCCAAGCUGAAUGUCUGGGGUUCGAAUCCCCACACCCGCU
RNAcentral lists this transfer RNA (72 nucleotides) under Chloroflexota bacterium. Its description in RNAcentral is "tRNA-Gly". It matches the Rfam family "tRNA". Rfam says of the family: Transfer RNA (tRNA) molecules are approximately 80 nucleotides in length. Their secondary structure includes four short double-helical elements and three loops (D, anti-codon, and T loops). The record is from RNAcentral. Lineage: Bacteria; Bacillati; Chloroflexota. RNAcentral also lists the same sequence under 1 other name.